RNAcentral lists this long non-coding RNA (210 nucleotides) under Lathyrus oleraceus (garden pea). Its description in RNAcentral is "Pisum sativum (pea) long non-coding RNA (PSAT_LNC010486)". The record is from RNAcentral. Lineage: Eukaryota; Viridiplantae; Streptophyta; Magnoliopsida; Fabales; Fabaceae.
UUUAGGAACAAAUUUCAGGGAACUUAUUCCCUUUUUUUGAAAAGGAGUCUGACCUCCAUGUCAUUAGUUAUUUAGGAACAACCGUCAUAACUUUUCGAUUUUUCAUGAUUCCUUCGACACUUCAUGACGUGUCCGAAGAAUAACACGUGGUUGAUCCCCAUAUGGGAUGUUUUCUCUUGAAAUUUAAAUGCAUAGUCAUACUAACUAAAU